RNAcentral lists this ribosomal RNA (119 nucleotides) under Salinisphaera sp. G21_0. Its description in RNAcentral is "partial 16S ribosomal RNA". It matches the Rfam family "Bacterial small subunit ribosomal RNA", at positions 1 to 114 of the family's 1533-position model. Lineage: Bacteria; Pseudomonadati; Pseudomonadota; Gammaproteobacteria; Salinisphaerales; Salinisphaeraceae. The record is from RNAcentral.
AAACUGAAGAGUUUGAUCAUGGCUCAGAUUGAACGCUGGCGGCAGGCCUAACACAUGCAAGUCGAGCGGUAGCGGGAAGAGCUUGCUCUUUGCCGACGAGCGGCGGACGGGUGCGUAAC